Molecule: ribosomal RNA, 429 nt
Filed under: Chloroflexota bacterium
Lineage: Bacteria; Bacillati; Chloroflexota
Description: Chloroflexi bacterium partial 16S ribosomal RNA
Rfam family: Bacterial small subunit ribosomal RNA
Source: RNAcentral
UAGGGAAUCUUCGGCAAUGGACGAAAGUCUGACCGAGCAACGCCGCGUGAGUGAAGAAGGUUUUCGGAUCGUAAAACUCUGUUGUUAGAGAAGAACAAGGACGUUAGUAACUGAACGUCCCCUGACGGUAUCUAACCAGAAAGCCACGGCUAACUACGUGCCAGCAGCCGCGGUAAUACGUAGGUGGCAAGCGUUGUCCGGAUUUAUUUGGCGUAAAGCGAGCGCAGGCGGUUUCUUAAGUCUGAUGUGAAAGCCCCCGGCUCAACCGGGGAGGGUCAUUGGAAACUGGGAGACUUGAGUGCAGAAGAGGGGAGUGGAAUUCCAGGUGUAGCGGUGAAAUGCGUAGAUAUAUGGAGGAACACCAGUGGCGAAGGCGGCUCUCUGGUCUGUAACUGACGCUGAGGCUCGAAAGCGUGGGGAGCAAACAGG